GUGAGCCGAGAUUGCGCCAUUGCACUCCAGCCUGGGAGACAGAGCGAGACUCCAUCUCAAAAAUAAAUUAAAAAGGUGAGGCUGUGCCUAAGUUUGGGAGUGCAGGUACAUUUUGUACCUGCCCUUGCUUUAGUGGGCUGAUUUUGCCUUGCCCACAGCUGCCUUCCUUGGUGGUAACUUUUCUCUCCCUCUCACUUGUAGUUUAUUUCUCCUGUGACAUAUUUGCCUGUCUCUUGUAUUUAAUAAUAUAAAAUGAAGUAAAAAAAGUUUUAGUAAAAAAUAUAUACACAUUACUGAAAUUCAUUAUUUACCAUCCUGCAUUCAAUGUGAAUGCUUGUCAUAAAGCUAAUGUGUAAUGACAUGUUUAAAAUAACAAUUGCCGCUCCAUGUCAGGGCAGUACCUCAUUUUUAUUGCUGUUGUUCCUGAAGACUGUAUUUCUCAGCUUGGUCUUUGAGGCAUUCUACAAUAUGUCUCAUGUAUACUCUGCUAGCCUUGUCCCAAUUUUGUUUGGAUAGUACUUCUGAAAACAUUUGGGCAAUUGAUAAGUGUUCUUUCACAGGAGCUCUGUAGUCAAAUAGGUUUGGGAGACUUGGGGAAAACAGUGACUUUGUGGCAGUACUUUCUCAGAGCCUUUCGUACACUAAUGUGCAUUGUAAAUGAAUUUCAAAAAGUAGUAUAGGCUGUAGUGUUUUCCAAACUUACUUGCCUAUGGAAUCCUUUUUCUAUUUUUCGUGCAUCUAUUGACUUAUCACAGAAGCACUGUCCAGAGAAUAACUGUCUACAAAAAAACAAAAUCUUUUCUGCUUCUGUGACUGCUCAUUUUGUCCCCUCCAUCUUCCCCUCCAAUUUUCUAAGUCCUGCGCAUCCUCAAGGACCAUCAGAAAAGCCAUCUCUACCAUAAAGCUUUGUCUGAUCCUCUAAAUGCAGUAUCUUUCCUUGGAAACGUGACGAUGUCUUUGCAUCUCUCUUCUGCUAUUUCUGAUACUCUUGCGUCAUUUUUAUAUGGGCAUUUCUUACCUGUCUUAGUAGGUUAUAAUCUGCUUGAGGGAAGGGACUGUAUCUUACUUACCAUGGAUGCCCUGUGGUACUUCAGUGCCCUGAGAAAUGGAAGCUUAUUGAGCUCCUACUUCUUACUGUAAUAGGAGCUCAAUAAGAACAUGUAAUUGAAACCAACCAGGGACCCAUUGAAAUUAGUCCUUUACUUAAUUGCACUAUUACAUUGCUUUUCUUUGUUAUACCUGUCUUUCCAACAGGGAAAGAGGUUCUAUAUUGAUUAAAAAGACCCUUUAGCUUAAAGUAAGGCCAAUAUUUUAAUUUCAAGAAGAAAUUUUUUUAAGUCCCCAUUAUAUUUUAUGUUAUGGUCAGAAAUUAUUGUUAUUUAUAUAAGAUUAUAAUAAACAACUUAUAUCUAUGGAAUAUAGACCUCUUAAUACUCCUUUUACACAUAUACCAAACAUUAUUGUUUCAUAUUAUGUUAUUUCCAGCAAAGACACCUCCAAAAAUUAGGUAGUUCAUGUUAUGAUUUUGAGAGUCACAGUUUUUAACAACCUUGUGUUUCAAAGAGGGAAAAAAUAACCACUUUCAUUUUUGCCUCCUACUGACUCACCAACUAGGAAAGGUCGGCGUGGCAGUAGGAGGCAAAAAUGAAAGUGAUUGUUUUCCUGUGAAACACUGGGCUGCCACACGGUAUAAAUUUCAAAAUUAUAGAAGCGGUUCUGCAUUUCUUUUCACACGGUUCCUUUCGCUUAUGCCUCCUGCUGCUGCUCCUAUGUGGGUGAACCUCUUUCCCUGUUGGAAACAGGCAAGUGUCAUUCCGGGUUCUAGCUGCCUUGUGGCAGGUGGGGGAAGGGAGAAGGAUUUUUUUUCCCUACUCUCUGCAUUCACACUGAUGGUGUGAGACAGUGAGAGAAAGAUUACCUGACAAGAGCUCAUAGGCAUUAUUGCUUAUUAAGUCUUUGAAAAACGUUAUUGGUCUCAGUAGCAUUAUUUUAAAAGACUGGGAAAGGACAUCCUGUGCUCAGGGUUGACAACCUAUUUUUAGUUUUGUUCCACACCAGUGGCCUGAGUAAUGGGGGUGACAGUAGCAGCAGUACUACUGUCCAGAAUGAAGGUGGUAAGAGAGUGAGCCAGGGGUUAAAUUUUCAGUUCAUGUGAGUGGUAAUGAGAGGUCGGAAGAUGAUAGCAAUAAGGAAGGUAAAAGUCCUUUAGCUGGGUGGUAGAAGCCUCAAAGCUGUGGUUCCUCACUGCCGCCCAACUUUGUCCCCCAACUCCCUACACAAAAAGGAGCAGUAGUGUUGUAGAAGAGGCAUGGUGGAUGGAGAAGGUUGUGGUUCCGACCUCCUGACCCUAUGUAUGUGGGCAAGGGAGAAUAAGUAGCCUCUGCUUGAGAGGGUUACAGGGGAAGCAGUACCCUGGAGGGAAGAGGUAUGCUCCCAUUGAAGCAAGAAUGUGCGGGAAAAUUACAUAGGGUUAGCCCAGUGACUUAUUUCACUUUUGUAAUGCUGAUAUAAGUCCAGGCGUAAACAGAAAACUAAGGAAGUCAGUUUUCUGAGUGUCAAAUACCAAUUCCAUGUUACAUGAUGAGUGGGGUAUAUUCUUGGCAUAUCCUUUCUUUUUCUUGUAUCAGAAUGAAUAUUCUCACCCCAUAAUGAGUAACAUGUGGUCUCAUUUUUGGUACAAUGUAAGUUCCUUUUGUUUUGUUUUAGAAUGUGAGACUUACGUAUCUUUAUUAAUGUAUUCAGAAUUUUUUUCUCAGCUCUGCUUCCUCCCACUCUGCCUUCCUUUCCUCCUUUCUUCCUUUAUUGAUUCCUUCCACUAAUGUCUCUAGAAGGUACUGAAAGCAUAUUUUGACUAGAUGCUUAUUCUAUAUAUUUUCAUUGCCUUCGGACUCUUGUUUGUGGAACAGUGGAUUUAGCUCUUUUAAAAAAAUAAAACUUUAAACUGUGUAAAAGGUGGUGAUUGGGAAUUAGUAAAAUUUUUGCUCUUUACUAUAAGACUAAUUUUAAACAAUGGAAGUUUACAAUUAACAUUUUGUAUUUUUAUUUAUGGUUAUUAGGUGAAGAUGGCCAUAGUACAUCCAAAUUUUUUCAUAAAGUUAAAUAUAAACCAAUUAUAAUUAGAGUACAAUUUUAAGAAUUUCUGUUGAGUGAUUAGAAGGUUGUUUAAUUUUCAUUGUGAUGUGAUCAGAGGCCUAGGAUAUGUUUUGUUUUGUUUUUAAUUUGAAGGUGGUGUAAUACUUUGGCUACUUAUGAAAGAGAGAGGACAUGUCACCCACAUAUGUGGGUAGAAAAACAGAUACUCCUUAUUCCUACAGGAGUACAUAAUUUAGCACAGUGGGUUAGAGCAUGAGCUUGAAGUCAUACUGCCUGGGAUCAGUUCUUAGUCCUUCACUUCCUAGCCAUGUGAUGCAGAGGAGGUUAUUUAACAUCUAGAAACGUCAGUUUUCUUAUUAGUGAUUGAGAUGAACCAUAGUUUUUACCUCAUAAAGUUGAUAUGGAGCUUUUAGGAUGAUGCUUGGCACAUAGUUAACACUCAUUAAAUGUUAGCAAAGAUGAUGAUGAUGACUGCAGUGACAACAUGCUGCCAAUAAUUGUCUUGGCCCACAUUUCUCUAUCCAUUGUUUUCUUCCAUAUCAUAUUAUAUCUUUUAUUACAUCUUUCUUACCUACUUUCUGCCUAGAUGGCUUCUCCUUUGGCCUUUUUUUUACCAGUAAAUGGCAUCACUAUUCAUCUGUGUGCUUCACCCAAAAAUCUCAAUUAUCCUCAAUUUCUUUCUCUCCGUCACUCCUCAUAUUCAAUUCAUUGACAAGAUUUUGACUCCUUCUCAAAAUUAUGUUCUGAUUUCUCCUGCUGUCCUCAUCUCUCUUGCCUCCUCAGGCCAUACCCACUACCCCCUGUCCAGGCUCCUUGCUUCCAUUCUUGCUCUACUCACCCUUCUUCCCAGUUCUCCAUGCAGCAUCAUGAGUUAUUUUUGUCAAAUGUGUAUCAGAAUGCAGAAUGGGGCUACCUUGCUUAGAACCCAGACCCCUUACUCUUGCUGUCAAAGCGUAAUAUGAUUUUCUCAAUGCUUACUUCUUUUGUGUGUGUGUAUGUGUGUGCAUGUGUGUGUGUG
Sapajus apella (tufted capuchin) is the source of this 4111-nucleotide long non-coding RNA. RefSeq lists it as uncharacterized. The record is from RefSeq and is a predicted model, not a curated record. The transcript has 3 exons. Lineage: Eukaryota; Metazoa; Chordata; Mammalia; Primates; Cebidae.